Molecule: transfer RNA, 88 nt
Filed under: Candidatus Cybelea sp.
Lineage: Bacteria; Bacillati; Vulcanimicrobiota; Vulcanimicrobiia; Vulcanimicrobiales; Vulcanimicrobiaceae
Also listed under: 1 other name
Description: tRNA-Ser
Rfam family: tRNA
About the family: Transfer RNA (tRNA) molecules are approximately 80 nucleotides in length. Their secondary structure includes four short double-helical elements and three loops (D, anti-codon, and T loops). Further hydrogen bonds mediate the characteristic L-shaped molecular structure. tRNAs have two regions of fundamental functional importance: the anti-codon, which is responsible for specific mRNA codon recognition, and the 3' end, to which the tRNAs corresponding amino acid is attached (by aminoacyl-tRNA synthetases). tRNAs cope with the degeneracy of the genetic code in two manners: having more than one tRNA (with a specific anti-codon) for a particular amino acid; and 'wobble' base-pairing, i.e. permitting non-standard base-pairing at the 3rd anti-codon position.
Source: RNAcentral
GGAGAGGUGGUCGAGUGGUUGAAGGCACCCGCCUCGAAAGCGGGCGAACGUUAACAGCGUUCCGUGAGUUCGAAUCUCACCCUCUCCG